This 394-nucleotide long non-coding RNA is filed under the name Heterocephalus glaber (naked mole-rat). RNAcentral's name for it is "lncRNA (ENSHGLG00000044196.1)". Lineage: Eukaryota; Metazoa; Chordata; Mammalia; Rodentia; Bathyergidae. The record is from RNAcentral.
AUUGGUAUGGCAGCAUACAUCUAAUGUCCCCGCUGUUGUCCUGCAUCUCAGCCUGACCAUCUCUGGCAGCAGAGGCUUGUGCCUGUGGGACACUCAUGACAGAUGCAUGCCUGGAAGAUGUUCCCGUGAAUUCUGCCAUGGGAUGAUGACAGCCUACUUCAUGGAAGCCUCUGCUUUGUCAAGUAGAACCAUCUAUGGUGCUGGAAGUCAGUGGAAGGCUUGGCAUAACCAAGAAAUGAAGUCAUGGAGGUCAGCUGGCCUUGAUGCUCCAAUGGUUGAGACAUUCCCAAGUGAGUCUGUGCCUCAGGUUUCACUCUGCAGGUGUAUUUGUGCAGUCACAGGAGGAAGGGAGGCGCAUCCUCCACUGCUGCUUGUCACCAGCAUGGUAUGUAUG